This 782-nucleotide non-coding RNA is filed under the name Potamanthus sp. MT-2014. Lineage: Eukaryota; Metazoa; Arthropoda; Insecta; Ephemeroptera; Potamanthidae. The record is from RNAcentral.
AGAAAGUUUUAUUCUGGCUUCUUUAUUUUCUGUAAUAUUAUUUUACAUGUGAGGUUUACCGUGAUAAUAAUAGGAAUCUUAAUGAAGACUAUUAACAUUAAUCGCAGUAUUUUAUAUUAGAAAUCAAUUUAAGUUGGAAUUAGUAAAUAUUUUAAAUUUUGGUUAAACUUGUGCCAGCCACCGCGGUUAAACAAGAGAGGUAAGAAAAUGAUUUUAGUUUUAGUUAAUAGGUAUUGUAUUAAUCAACUAUAUUUUGUUAGGUGAAAUUUUUAAAUAUAAAGUAAAUAAUAAAGAUUUAUAUAAAGCUAGGAAAAUCAGAUUUUAAACUAGGAUUAGAUACCCUAUUAUUCUGGAAGUUAGUUUUGUUGCUAGAGUAGUAAUAGGUAUGUUCUUGAAACUCAAAGAAUUUGGCGGUGUUUUAGUCUUAUCAGAGGAACUUGCUCCGUAAUCGAUAAUCCUCGUUUUACUUUACUUAAUUAGGUUAACAGCUUGUAUACCGCCGUCAUCAGGAUAUUUCCUAAGAAUAUGUUCAAGAUCUUAAAUUAAAAUAUAUGUCAGGUCAAGGUGCAGCUUAUGAUUAAGUGGAGGUGAGUUACAAUAUAGGAAUAUAAACGGAGUAGACUUUGAAAGUGGUUUAGGAAGGUGGAUUUGGUAGUAAUAUAAUUUAGAAAGAAUGUAUGAUGGUAGCUCUAAAACAUGCACACAUCGCCCGUCGCUCUCAUUUAUUAAGGUGAGAUAAGUCGUAACAUAGUAGAUGUACCGGAAGGUGUAUCUAGAAAGUU